This 668-nucleotide ribosomal RNA is filed under the name Cylindrospermopsis raciborskii. Its description in RNAcentral is "bacterial SSU rRNA". It matches the Rfam family "Bacterial small subunit ribosomal RNA", at positions 98 to 800 of the family's 1533-position model. The record is from RNAcentral. Lineage: Bacteria; Bacillati; Cyanobacteriota; Cyanophyceae; Nostocales; Aphanizomenonaceae.
AGGGGCGGGUGAGUAACCGGUAAGAUUUUGGCCCCAGUCCGGGAAUAAGUUGGAAACGACUGCUAAUACCNGGAUGUGCCGAGAGGUGAAAGAUUUAUUGCCUGGAGAUGAGCUCGCGUCUGAUUAGCUAGUUGGUGGUGUAAGGGACCACCAAGGCGUCGAUCAGUAGCUGGUCUGAGAGGAUGAUCAGCCACACUGGGACUGAGACACGGCCCAGACUCCUACGGGAGGCAGCAGUGGGGAAUUUUCCGCAAUGGGCGAAAGCCUGACGGAGCAAUACCGCGUGAGGGAGGAAGGCUCUUGGGUCGUAAACCUCUUUUCUCAAGGAAGAAGAAAGUGACGGUACUUGAGGAAUAAGCAUCGGCUAACUCCGUGCCAGCAGCCGCGGUAAUACGGAGGAUGCAAGCGUUAUCCGGAAUGAUUGGGCGUAAAGGGUCUGCAGGUGGAACUGAAAGUCUGCUGUUAAAGAGUUUGGCUUAACCAAAUAAAAGCGGUGGAAACUACAGAACUAGAGUGCGGUAGGGGCAAAAGGAAUUCCUGGUGUAGCGGUGAAAUGCGUAGAUAUCAGGAAGAACACCGGUGGCGAAAGCGUUUUGCUAGACCGUAACUGACACUGAGGGACGAAAGCUAGGGGAGCGAAUGGGAUUAGAUACCCCAGUAGUCCUAGC